This 517-nucleotide ribosomal RNA is filed under the name Dothideomycetes sp. CJL-2014. Its description in RNAcentral is "eukaryotic LSU rRNA". The stretch from base 148 to 301 matches the Rfam family "5.8S ribosomal RNA". The record is from RNAcentral. Lineage: Eukaryota; Fungi; Ascomycota; Dothideomycetes.
GGCUUCGGUCUUGCUUUCUGCCCUUCUCUUACUGAUUAUACCCAUGUCUUUUGCGUACUAUUUGUUUCCUUGGUGGGCUUGCCUGCCGAUAGGACAUCAUUAAACCUUUUGUAAUUGCAGUCAGCGUCAGAAAAACAUAAUAAUUACAACUUUCAACAACGGAUCUCUUGGUUCUGGCAUCGAUGAAGAACGCAGCGAAAUGCGAUAAGUAGUGUGAAUUGCAGAAUUCAGUGAAUCAUCGAAUCUUUGAACGCACAUUGCGCCCCUUGGUAUUCCAUGGGGCAUGCCUGUUCGAGCGUCAUUUGUACCCUCAAGCUCUGCUUGGUGUUGGGUGUUUGUCCCGCUUUUCGCGUGGACUCGCCUUAAAACAAUUGGCAGCCGGCAGAUUGGCCUGGAGCGCAGCACAUUUUGCGCCUCUUGUCAUGAUUGUUGGCAUCCAUCAAGACUAUUUUUUACUCUUGACCUCGGAUCAGGUAGGGAUACCCGCUGAACUUAAGCAUAUCAAUAAGCGGAGGAA